AUGGGGGCGUUCCGCAGGCCGGAGCCCGGCUUGCGCCUUGGAGAGGCGGGUGGUCAUGGGACCUCGCGCUGCAGAGCCGGGAGCGGACGGGCGGUGCAGAAGGCCCGGGGGCCGCGGCCGGGCCCGGAGCCUCUCAACCGCGCGCCGAAGGCAGUGAACUUUGAGCGCAUCUGGGUCAUCACGCCCCCCACAAGCAGCCAGUCCAGGGCCCGUCUGCGACGCCAGACCCUGCCCAUGGCCAGCCACUUUUCCAGAGGAAAGCACGGCCCCACAGGAGGCCCCACCCGCCCCGUCACAGCUUUGAAGGUGGGAGCCAGGAGGCCAACUCGAAAUGGCAUGGAGGGUAAACAGCUGAGGACCCAGUUUGGCCUGGUCAGGAGGCUGGCCGGCUACAAAGGGACACUGUUCGGAAAUCUGCUCCCCCACAGUAUGCACACAUGUGAAGGAAAAAACAGAAGAAUCAGAGUCUGGCAGGAUUUCAGAGGAAGGAGAGAGGCUGGAUUCCUUGAUUUCCUCUGCACACCUGCCACCUCCCCAGCUGGGCACCUUGAAUCAAUUUACAGAUGA
RNAcentral lists this long non-coding RNA (567 nucleotides) under Capra hircus (goat). RNAcentral's name for it is "lncRNA (ENSCHIG00010032235.1)". Lineage: Eukaryota; Metazoa; Chordata; Mammalia; Artiodactyla; Bovidae. The record is from RNAcentral.